Long non-coding RNA from Apus apus (common swift), 558 nucleotides. RefSeq lists it as uncharacterized. The record is from RefSeq and is a predicted model, not a curated record. NCBI's taxonomy places the organism in Eukaryota, Metazoa, Chordata, Aves, Apodiformes, Apodidae. The transcript has 2 exons.
GGCACGGGUGGGCCAGGGGUGAGCGGCUGCAGCCCUGGCCUGCCCUGCCGUAAAAGGCACUGGUGCACAGCCCAGCCAACUGGGGAAACAGAGCAAGAAAUAGCACAGGGACGAUGGCGGAUGAGCAGAAAUAGAAGGAAGGCAGGGACUUACCAGCUGGCUGUAGGCAGAAGUUGCUUACAGCAAGGACAACAGGCUGAGCACACAGAGCAUCUUCUUCCCAGCUCCAGUUAUGUUGGAUUUCAUCAGCAUGCUCACGCAUCUACUGCAGGAGGAAAAUUGGAUCCCAGGAUUUUUGCUAAACAACCUAAUGGACAGCAGGAGACACGGGGCUGCAGAUGACAGCAGUCACCACAACCACCACUUCAACUGCUGGAAAAUUACACGUCCCAGCUCCCUCAGAGUGCCAGGGCACAGCUAGGCUUUCCUUGCCCAGCUUCCUCUUAGCACCUUGGAAGAAGCAUGACUCCUUCCAGUUUUGAUGGGCUUUUAUGAGAUAUGGUGGACUUCUGCCACACACUUCAUGCUCAAUUAAACUAGUGCAAAGCAAAUACAAAA